Molecule: ribosomal RNA, 494 nt
Filed under: uncultured bacterium
Lineage: Bacteria
Description: partial 16S ribosomal RNA
Rfam family: Bacterial small subunit ribosomal RNA
Source: RNAcentral
ACUCAAAUGAAUUGACGGGGAGGCACACAACCGGUGGAGCAUGUGGUUCAAUUCGAGACGAAGCGAAAGACCUCACCAGGGUUGGACAUGUUACCGUUUAUCCCGCUAGAAAUAAUGGGAGAUCCGCAAGGAUGGUAAUGAAGCUGCUGCAUGGCUGUCGUCAGCUCGUGCCGUGGGGUGUUGGCUUAAGUGCCAGAACGAGCGCAACCCCUGCCCUAUGUUAAAUUCUCAUAGGGGACCGCUAAGCCUUUCGGUUUGGAGGAAGGUGGGGACGACGUCAAGUCAGCACGGCGCUUAUGCCCUGGGCAACACACAUCCUACAAUGGCGAAAAACAAUGGGAUGCGAAGUCGUAAGGCGGAGCAAAUCCUCAGUAAAUUUCGCCCCAGUUCAGAUUGGGGUCUGCAACUCGACCCCAUGAAGUCGGAAUCGGUAGUAAUCGCAGAUCAGCAAGGCUGCGGUGAAUACGUUCUUGCCUCUUGUACACACCGCCCGU